GACCCAGGUCAGGCGGGACUACCCGCUCAAUUUAAGCAUAUCACUAAGGGGAGGAAAAGAAACUUACAAGGAUUCCCUUAGUAACGGCGAGCGAACCGGGAAGAGGCCAGCUUGAUAAUCGGUCACCCUCGGCAUCUGAAUUAUAGUCUGGAGAAGCGUCCUCAGUGACGGACUAGGCCCGAGUCCCCUAGAAAGGGGCGCCGUAGAGGGUGAGAGCGCCGUCGUGCCUGGACCCUGUCGCACCAUGAGGCACUGUAUACGAGUCGGGUUGUUUUGGAAUACAGCCCUAAUCGGGCGAUAAAUUCCGUCCAAGGCUAAAUACGGGUGAGAGACCGAUAGCGAAAUAGUACUGCGAGGGAAAGAUGAAAAGGACUUUGAAAAAAGAGUCAAAGAGUGCUUGAAAUUGUUGGGAGGGAAUCGGAUGGGGGCCGGUGAUGCCCCCAGUCGGAUGUGGAAUGGCGAUAGCCGGUCCGUCGAUCGACUCUUGGCGUGAACCGACGCAGAUCGUUGUGGCGGCCCAAGCCCAGGCCUUUGAUAUGCCCGCGGAGACGUCUUCACCUCGAUCGUGGAACCCAGCACGCGUCGUCUCUACAUGCUUCAAUAACGGCGUGCUCAGAGAGUCGGCCUACGGGCUCUCCAUCCGCCCCUUCAUGAAACACGGACCAAGGAGUCUGACAUGUGUGCGAGUCAACGGGCAAAAAACUCGUAUGGCGCAAGGAAGCUGAUUAGCGGGAUCCUUCAUGGGUGCACCGCCGAUCGACCUUGAUCUUCUGAGAAGAGUUCGAGUGAGAGCAUGCCUGUCGGGUUUCGAAAGAUGGUGAACUAUACCUGAGUGGGGCGAAGCCAGAGAAAACUCUGGUGGAGGCCCACAGCGAUACUGACGUGCAAAUCGUUCGUCUGACUUGGGUAUAGGGGCAAAAGACUAAUCAACUUAUCUAGUAGCUAGUUCCCUCUAAAGUUUCCCUCAGGAUAACUGGAGCCCUUAGCGAGUUCUAUCGGGAAAAGCCAAUGAUUUGAGGCAUCGGGGGCGCAACGCCCUCAACCUAUUCUCAAACUUUAAAUAGGUAGGACGGCGCAACUACUUCAUUGAGCCGGACCACGGAAUCAAGAGCUCCAAGUGGGCCAUUUUUGGUAAGGAAAACUGGCGAUGCAGGAUAAACCGGAUGUUGGGUUACGGUGCCCAACUACGCGCUAACUUAGAAAACACAAAGGGUGUUUACCGAUUAAGACAGCAUGACGGUGGUCAUGGAAGUCGAAAUCCGCUAAGGAGUGUGUAACAACUCACCUGCCAAAUCAACUAGCCCCAAAAAUAGAUGGCACUUUAGUGCGUGACCUAUACUCGGCCGUCGGGGCAAGGGCCAGGACCCGAUGAGUAGAAGGACACAGCAGUCACCGUAAAACCCAUGCCGUGAUACCGGGCGGAGCGGCCGUCGGUGCAGAUCUUGGUGGUAGUAGCAAAUAGUCAUAUGAGAACUUUAAAGGUCAAAGAGGGGAAAGGUUCUAUGUGAACGAUACUUGCUUAUGGGUUAGUCGAUCCUAAGAGACGGGGGAAGCCCGUCUGAUAGCGCGUUCGCGCGAGUUUCGAAAGGGAAUCGGGUUAAAAUUCUUGAACCGGGACGCGGUAGCUGACGACAACGUUAGGGGGUCCAGAGACGUCGGUGGGGGCCUCGAUAAGAGUUAUAUUUUCUGUUUAACGGCCUGCCCUCCUUGGAAACGGCUCAGCCAUAUGUAGGUUCCAGCGGCCGGAAGAGCACUGCACGUCGCGUGGUGUACGGUGCACCCCCGGCGGCCCUUGAAAAUCUGGAGGACCGAGUGUCGUCCGCGCCCAGUCGUUUUUAUAACCGCAUCAGGUCUCCAAGGUGAACAGCCUCUAGUCGAUGGAAUAAUGUAGGCAAGGGAAGUCGGCAAAAUGUAUCUGUAACCUCGGGAAAAAGAUUAGCUUUGAGGGAUGGGCACAAGGGUCCCAUUCCCGAACCCGUCGGCUGCCAGUGCACUGUUCGCGGGUCGCCGCGUGUCGGCCGGAGGACGGACUUGGAACGGCUCCUUCGAGGGCCUUCCCCGGGCGGCGAACAGUCGACUCAGAACUGGUACAGACAAGGGGAAUCUGACUGUUUAAUUAAAACAAAGCAUUGCGAUGGUCCCUGCAGAUGCUCACGUAAUGUGAUUUCUGCCCAGUGCUCUGAAUGUCAAAGUGAAGAAAUUCAACCAAGGGCAGGUAAAUGGCGGGAGUAACUAUGACUCUCUUAAGGUAGCCAAAUUCCUCAUCAUCUAAUUAGUGAUGCACAUUAAUAGAUUAACGAGAUUCCCACUGUCCCUGUCUACUAUCCAGCGAAACCAUAGCCAAGGGAACGGGCUUGGCAGAAUCAGCGGGGAAAUAAGACCCUGUUCAGUUUGACUCUAGUCUGACUUUUUGAAAUAACUUGAGAGGUGUAGGAUAAGUGAGUGCUCUCGGGCGAAAUAGAAAUACCACUACUUUUAACGUUAUUUUACUUAUUCCGUGAUUCAGAAACGGGGCACAACCCCUCUUUUUGGACCCAAGGUCGGCUUCUGUCGGUCGAUCCGGGUGGAAGACAUUUUCAGGUGGAGAGUUUGGCUGGGGCGGCACAUCUGUUAAAGGAUAACGCAUGUGUCGUAAGAUGAACUCAACGAGAACAUAAAUCUCGUGUGGAACAAAAGGGUAAAAGCUCGUUUGAUUCUGAUUUCCAGUACGAAUACGAACCGUGAAAGUGUGGCCUAUCGAUCCUUUAGACCUUCAGAAUUUGAAGCUAGAGGUAUCAGAAAAGUUACCACAUGGAUAACUGGCUUGUGGCAGCUAAGCGUUCAUAGCGACGUUGCUUUUUGAUCCUUCGAUGUUGGCUCUUCCUAUCAUUGUGAAGCAAAAUUCAACAAGUGUUGGAUUAUUCACCCACCAAUAGGGAACGUGAGCGGGUUUAGACUGUCGUGAGACAGGUUAGUUUUACCGUACUGAUGGUGGCGGCGUAAUAGUAAUUCAACCUAGUACGAGAGGAACCGUUGAUUCAAACAAUAGGUCAUCGCGCUUGGUUAAAAAGCCAGUGGCGCGAAGCUAUCGUGCGCUAGAUUAUGACUGAAUGCCUCUAAGUCAGAAUCUGGGAUAGAAGCAACGAUUGCACCUAUCGCCCGAUUAUUGACCCGCAAUAGGGCCCCCGGCCCUUAAGGUCACGAGUCGUGGGUGCAGCGCGCGCAUCGAGCAAGUCACACGUGGCUCCC
RNAcentral lists this ribosomal RNA (3228 nucleotides) under Hibiscus syriacus. Its description in RNAcentral is "eukaryotic LSU rRNA". It matches the Rfam family "Eukaryotic large subunit ribosomal RNA". Lineage: Eukaryota; Viridiplantae; Streptophyta; Magnoliopsida; Malvales; Malvaceae. The record is from RNAcentral.